This is a long non-coding RNA of Culex pipiens pallens (northern house mosquito), 394 nucleotides long. RefSeq lists it as uncharacterized. The transcript has 3 exons. NCBI's taxonomy places the organism in Eukaryota, Metazoa, Arthropoda, Insecta, Diptera, Culicidae. The record is from RefSeq and is a predicted model, not a curated record.
AAAAAAAGGCGAGUCGUCAUUAGGAAGGACCAAAUAUUGCUCGCCAUCCAGCAGUGCAUAGUGCCAAUCGAUUCCUAGUUACGUUGGGUCAACUCGCUGUUGCUGGCACUGCUAAAAGGGUCUACAACUGCUGAAACUAUGGCCCGAUUCUAGGAACCCGGGGUCCAUAAAACUCCAUUUGCCAUCAAAAACCCCGGGGUGGGAUUCCUGGAAGAGGACGCUCGUUGGCGAUUCUUCGGGUGCAGUCGAGAUUUAAUGGAGGUUACGUGCGCUGCUGAUAUGUUUAUUAUCUACCGCUGAAACGGUGGUGGAACAAUGUGACUAUUAAGGUAAAGUCCGUUAAAAAUUUCUUAAUUAGUUCUUUUUUGCCAAUACGACAAACGGUGGAAAUCGA